RNAcentral lists this ribosomal RNA (417 nucleotides) under Pediococcus pentosaceus. Its description in RNAcentral is "bacterial SSU rRNA". It matches the Rfam family "Bacterial small subunit ribosomal RNA", at positions 82 to 488 of the family's 1533-position model. Lineage: Bacteria; Bacillati; Bacillota; Bacilli; Lactobacillales; Lactobacillaceae. The record is from RNAcentral.
UAACACGAAGUGAGUGGCGAACGGGUGAGUAACACGUGGGUAACCUGCCCAGAAGUAGGGGAUAACACCUGGAAACAGAUGCUAAUACCGUAUAACAGAGAAAACCGCAUGGUUUUCUUUUAAAAGAUGGCUCUGCUAUCACUUCUGGAUGGACCCGCGGCGUAUUAGCUAGUUGGUGAGGUAAAGGCUCACCAAGGCAGUGAUACGUAGCCGACCUGAGAGGGUAAUCGGCCACAUUGGGACUGAGACACGGCCCAGACUCCUACGGGAGGCAGCAGUAGGGAAUCUUCCACAAUGGACGCAAGUCUGAUGGAGCAACGCCGCGUGAGUGAAGAAGGGUUUCGGCUCGUAAAGCUCUGUUGUUAAAAAAACGUGGGUAAGAGUAACUGUUUACCCAGUGACGGUAUUUAACCAGAA